RNAcentral lists this long non-coding RNA (215 nucleotides) under Setaria italica (foxtail millet). Its description in RNAcentral is "long non-coding RNA (SITA_LNC003368)". The record is from RNAcentral. Lineage: Eukaryota; Viridiplantae; Streptophyta; Magnoliopsida; Poales; Poaceae.
UCAUCUUCAAGCCAGCGUUCACUUUCAAAGUGGGCGCAACCUUCGUCUUCGACUCCUGACUUUGCAUCACCGACAACACUGGUCCUUCCAAUGCUGCAUCAUCGACAACCAGGAGAAGAAGCGCCUCGAUGUGAACUCUCUUCCACAAGAAGUAGAAAAUCUCGUCGAGAAAAUCAGCAAAUUAAACCACGGAUCAAGGUUCGACUGCAAACUCG